This is a long non-coding RNA of Sander lucioperca (pikeperch), 352 nucleotides long. RefSeq lists it as uncharacterized. The transcript is spliced from 2 exons. NCBI's taxonomy places the organism in Eukaryota, Metazoa, Chordata, Actinopteri, Perciformes, Percidae. The record is from RefSeq and is a predicted model, not a curated record.
AAAAAUCUUUUAGUGUUGCUUUAAAGACACUCAUCCAGCAGUUACCUGUACUCUGCUGGUUUGACUCCAAGGUGCGAUCUGGUCACUGUAGCUCACCAUAGUUUUCUUUUAAGUGCAAUUAGUGUUUCAAGAAACAAGUUAGGGUACAAAUAUACUUUACCUUCCUGGUCAAAUAAAUUCUGGAUCUGACAACUUAUCUUGUCACUUCUUCUUCUAGCCUGACUUGGACACCUUCUGUAAUUCCACAUCAUUAUAAAUGAAACUCACACUAUAAACUUGAAUUAAUCAAGUGGAACUUUAACCAUUUACUUUUGGGAGAAUAUUACUAAUAUUCAAACAUCUGUUGAAACGU